RNAcentral lists this ribosomal RNA (714 nucleotides) under uncultured Corynebacterium sp. Its description in RNAcentral is "bacterial SSU rRNA". It matches the Rfam family "Bacterial small subunit ribosomal RNA", at positions 65 to 791 of the family's 1533-position model. The record is from RNAcentral. Lineage: Bacteria; Bacillati; Actinomycetota; Actinomycetes; Mycobacteriales; Corynebacteriaceae.
AACGGAAAGGCCCUGCUUGCAGGGUACUCGAGUGGCGAACGGGUGAGUAACACGUGGGUGAUCUGCCCUGCACUUCGGGAUAAGCCUGGGAAACUGGGUCUAAUACCGGAUAGGAGCCAUUUUUAGUGUGAUGGUUGGAAAGUUUUUUCGGUGUAGGAUGAGCUCGCGGCCUAUCAGCUUGUUGGUGGGGUAAUGGCCUACCUAGGCGGCGACGGGUAGCCGGCCUGAGAGGGUGUACGGCCACAUUGGGACUGAGAUACGGCCCAGACUCCUACGGGAGGCAGCAGUGGGGAAUAUUGCACAAUGGGCGCAAGCCUGAUGCAGCGACGCCGCGUGGGGGAUGAAGGCCUUCGGGUUGUAAACUCCUUUCGCUAGGGACGAAGCUUUUUUGUGACGGUACCUAGAUAAGAAGCACCGGCUAACUACGUGCCAGCAGCCGCGGUAAUACGUAGGGUGCGAGCGUUGUCCGGAAUUACCGGGCGUAAAGGGCUCGUAGGUGGUUUGUCGCGUCGUCUGUGAAAUUCUGGGGCUUAACUCCGGGCGUGCAGGCGAUACGGGCAUAACUUGAGUGCUGUAGGGGUAACUGGAAUUCCUGGUGUAGCGGUGAAAUGCGCAGAUAUCAGGAGGAACACCGAUGGCGAASGCAGGUUACUGGGCAGUUACUGACGCUGAGGAGCGAAAGCAUGGGUAGCGAACAGGAUUAGAUACCCUGGU